UUUUUUUUUUUUUUUUUUUUUUUUUUACAGUCUUCUCCGCAAAGAACCUGCAAAACACAAGAGUGCAACGAUGCAGAGUGCAGGAACAUGAAGGGUGCAGAUGCUCCAGAUGCAGUUUAGACUACCAACAACUAAUAUUGAAAUCCAAAAACAAACAAACUGAUACGAGCAAACAGAAGCAGAUUAAAUCCCGAAGGAUCAAACCUGCUCUAAUACCAAGUUGAAUAUCAGAGUGCGCAACGAACAAGACUAACAAGAAUAAGAAUAUUAUUAAACAAACGAGAAUGCCGAAACGGCUACAAAACCCUAAGAUGCUACAUUGUGACUAACUUGAUUAUUCUAUAGAGUUACAAAGUAUCAUAUAUAUAGAAAACUAACCUAACCCUAAUAGGCAAGGAAACGAAACCCUAAUACUAACGGGCUAAGCCCAAAAUACCAAACAUUAAAAUAAAUCUAAAUAAUAAUAUUUUCCAACAGGAAGUGCCAAAGAUUCACCAGUAAAUGGGAUUAGAUAAACAAAAAAUGGCCGAAGUUAGGUCUACCAUCGUAUAGGCACAAGAAGCCAUUGCAAGAACCCACAAUUUCGACUGCGAACCCGUACUCAAUACUGGAGUCUCUAGAAAGCCUCACGACAUCGCUGUGUUGGGUUAGAGUGCUCGUCGAGGCCAACCACGAAGUGACCUAUCGACUUGGCACAAGGGGCGUUGAAGCAAUGGAGCAAAAUGCAAGCCGGUGCUUGUGAAAAUAGGGACAUGGUGAAGUGGCGGUCUGAGAGCCAGUGGACACUCGUCUGCAUUGGGUGAGCGUCUUGGUUGAGAUCUCUAUUAUUGUGUGGCUGGAAAUUGCGGAAUGUACAAUGUGGGGUUUCUUCUCAUGUUUCUUUAUCUUCUUCUUUUGAAGGUUUGUUAGGGAAAUUUGCAAAAUUAACCAAAUUUUAGACCCUAUAUAUUGAAUUAUUGCCACCGUUUUAAGUUAAGGAUCAUUAUAACCAAAAUUUUACAUGAAAUUACUAACAUACGCUUAAAAUGAGUUUUCCCAUAUAACCAAAAUGAAAAAAAUUUAAAAUUCAAGCUCAAGAAAUGUUCAUUCAGAUUGAAUAUGCCAUGUUGGUCGAAUCUAGCCAGAAAACUGUCGUUCUCCGGUCACAUAGCAGGGAAUUCGAAACCCAUAUAGUCAAUCCUUGCCAAAGUUGUUUAUUUGAGAAAAAAAAGAAGAGGAAUUUAGCUCCAAAAGCAAAGCAAAUCAACGAGCUUUAUAGGAUCACACAAGCAAUCAUGGAUAGCAUCGUUGACACUAUCAACUCCGCAACCAUCGUCAUCUCAACCGAAGCUAGUGCCCAGCCCACCACCGUCUUUGUAACUCUCUCUCUCUCUCUCUCUCUCUCUAGUGCAUACAAAUCUUUAUGCAUGUGUGCUUUUUUUUUUCUCUUCUCAUUUGCACCAGAAAAGUAGAAUUGCUGCAUUUGUAGAAGCUUGAGAAAGGCUUAUCAUCCCUUGACGCAGUGCAUUAGGGACUGAAAUGUGAACAAACAAGUAAAAGCAGGAAAACUAUCAAAUAAAAAAUCCACAUAACACAAAUUGAGAGAAGAGAUAUCAACUAAUAUGACUUUAGGGUCCUUGUUAUACUCUGUUUGGUUGCUGAGAAACUCUGGGAAUCUAAAACACACAUAUAUGGACAGUUGGAUUUUGCGUUCUUACUCGUAUUUUCAAUCCUAAGAAUGAAAACUAUCAACGUUUGAGUGUUUUUGUAGGAUUUUUUUUUUGGUUGUGAUAAGAAAACUCAUUUUAAGAGUAUACAAAUACUUUCAUAUCAACUUUUAAUUAUAAUUAUCAUAAACUUAAAAGGGUGACUAUAAUUCUAUAUAGAGUCUCAACUGUUGCUUAUGGUUUCAAUUGUUGUCGUGUAGAUAGGGGGGAGAGUUCAAUUUCCUAUUUUUUGAAUUUUCACAGAUACCGUUUUCAUUAACUCACGAGUCUUUUUUAACCCAGUUUCACACUAAACCCUUUCUGAUGAAUUCAUUUUCAACCGUUCAAAUUUAAUCCUAUGGUCUACAUCCCAUCUGCACACACUGUCCGCAAAGCUCCGUUUGCACCUUAGAAAUCGCCCUCUUUAUAAACUGGCCUGGCCUACACGGCACAACCCAAUUCCAGGCCAAAAUUGCAUAAACCCAACUCCUUUUAAUUGUUUUCAGAAGAGUGGUAGUUUUGUAAUUAAAUGGAAAUAAAUGGAAACGUAGCCAAUUUGACAGUGCUUAUGAACAAUGCCAAACUCCCCUCAAUUUUAAACUAUAGUAAUAAUUCCUAGUAUUGGUGAAUCAUAUGAUGGUGGUCAGGAGAAGACUGAAAGUCUUCUCGGCCCUUGGAAGAGAGGAUUGUCGUGGUGAAACCACCAGUUAGUCCAUUUUUUAAAUAAAAUAAAAUAAAAUUUUGGAAUCAAACUUCAUUCAUUUUCCAAGUAGUCCUAAACUACUGAAAAAUUGGCAAAUGUACCAUUUUCCGUUGAGAUGUAGAUUUUACCCCUUUUAGAUCUACUCCAACCCUUAGAGUAAAAUUCAAAUUUUAGGUUCUAAACCUACCCCAAUUUGCUCCAACCCAUAGGGUAAAUAUGAGUUGUAACCCAUAACUCAUUUCUGGGGCAAAUUUAGGCCAGGAUUCCCUUUGGGUUAGUAGGGUUGACCCACCAAAUAUAUGUAUUUUUUUUUAGUUUUAUUUAUAAAUUCAUUAAAUCUAACCGUUAAGAUCUAAUAUGAUCAAAUCUAAUUGUAAAAAAAAAAAAAAAGAUUUAACUCUCCAAAUUUAGACCCAACGGCUAAAAUAAUUAAAAACAAUUGUUUUUUCAUAUUCUUUCAUAGUGUCUGAUGAGUUUCAUGGUGUCAGUUUAGUAAUUUUUCAAUAUUUGUCGGAAUCUAAAUAUUUUUAGGUUAAAAUGUUCAUAAAAUUAAAUUAGGAUAGUCUACAAAUAUAUAUAUAUAUAUAUAUAUAUUUAAAGUUACUUUAAGAAUCCUAAAUUCAUUUUUUAAUAAUCUCGGACUAAAAAUUUAACCCAUAAGAGUUAGAGCAGAAAACAUAUUUCUAGGUUAAACCCUAAAUUUUUUGGGUUAAAAAUUUAAACACGUCGGUUCUUGCACUAAUGCUAGCUAGAAACAGCGCAUUAGCUACGUAGUCCUUGGACAACAUCUUAUUUCAUAGAAAUAUUUCAUAUUCAUGACAAUACCUAUGUGUUAAAAUUAAUAGGGUUUAUUUGUCCUAUUGUAUAAAGGGAAUUUUGUCCUUUCAAGUACCUAUAUUUUUAGGCUAAUAUGUAAAGAGGCUGUUGACUUAUUUGAUGCAUGGUUAAUUUAUUUGAUACAUUUAAAAAAUAAAAUAAUUUUUUAUUCAAAUGAUUUUUUGUCAAGAUAAUAUUUAAAGAAAGAUUAAGAAAUUGAACGGUUCUAAUUAUAAAUUUUCUAUGGUAAAAAUACGUAUUUGCAAGUAGUCAUGAAUAGCUCAUCCCCGAAGAGGGGAAUGCAAGAGUAUUAUUCUUUAUUUAUUUCAUUGAAAUUAUUACAAAUUCAUGACAAUACUAAGCGUCAAAAUUCAUAAAGUUUAUUUCUCCUUUAGUAUGAUAUAAAGGGAUAUUACAUAAUAUCCUUUCUAGUUCUAUUUUUAGGGUGAUGGACAGAAUGUAAUAACGUAGUUUGGUCCACCGCUGCAUGUAAAGGUGCUGUUGACAUCAUCAUAAGCGUAGCUAUAAGCCUGAGGGCACUGGUCCUCAAAGAUCUUAGAGUAGUCUGUGGGUGGACAUGUAGCUGGUGUGUCAUUAGGAGGAGUGCAGCAGUAUUGUGGUUGAUUAAAUUGUGUACACGCACUCUUGCAUGCAAUUACGCUCCCAUCGGACCCCUUCACUUGCAGCUCAGCUGGGCAAACAGCGUUGACGUUGGCGGGGCAAGAAGAGGUCUGGCAGUCGCCCGUGCCGCCUUGUGGGGCAACAGACACGGGCAAGUUGAAGCCAUCAACAAGACUUACGUCGUAGAAAUCUUGGCCUCCGUUUGCGACAAUAUUUAUUUCGACUAGGCUUGCUGGUGGAACUGCUCCGUUACCGUUGCAUGUGACUUGGCCAGAGCUACACUCUGCUGUGGCACAACUGAACUUUCCUGAGGCGUCAGUGGAGCAUCCGGUUCGGCCCCAGAAGCGGCCUUUCCAUGGGACUGGAGUGGUCAAGGAACUGCUAGCGCCGGAUGCUAACUCGAACCCUGUGGAGGAUAGUUGUGGUUGUUGAUCGGAGGUUAGGGACCCUGGCCAUACGGUAUAGGGGCAACUGUUGGUGAAGGUGAUCGUAGCUGCAUGUGCACCUACAUGCCAAUUGUAAACGAAUAAUCAUAUAACCAUUAUGUUAACAAAAAAAUAUCUCUAUAUCUCUAUAUAUGUGUCUAUGAUGAUGUUACCAACUAUGGAUCAAUUUGAACACAAAUUAAUAACGUUCAAACAAAACAAAAAUCAUCAGUUUAAAAUUUCAUGUCUAACAGUUUAACGAUCGAUAUAACAUUUUUCAUGAAUCAUGACACGUACCAGAUCACAUACAAAUAACCGUAAACAAAAAGAACAGAACAAGUCAAUUUGUUUACCUGCGAAGAAGAUGGCUAAGGUGAGACUGAGGAUUACUUGGUUGUUCAUCAUGAUUAAGCAAUCACUUCUUCAAUUUGCUGCCAAAUUAAUUUGGUGAUGAAAUGAUGAAGUUGGGAACCGAUGGGCCUUUGGUUUUAUAGGCAUAAGCGCAUACCUAACUUUAGACUUUUUUAUUUUUGCAUGUCUGCUACAUGAGGAUCCACGUUACCACUAAUAAGUGAUGAGACGACUUGUCUUAAUUAUGGCUUUAUUAGGCGUAUUUGGUCCCUGGACUGACCCCUAGCAAGCUAUUUCCUCAUUCAACCCAAGACAUUUCUCCGCAAAAAUGCCAAACAGGAGUUAAGUGGGACAAUUUGAGUUUACAGGGUAAAAUGAGAAUGAACUUGAGUUUCAGGAAGCGUCAGGAUAAAGCUUAUUUCUUAUAAAAAAAUAUAAGGAUUAAGUACCUAGAACUCCUCAAUCUUUUAGUGUCAUUUCAAAGUAGUCCCAACCUUUUUAAAUAUUCCAAACAAGUAACUAGUCUAUUGAAAAUUUCAGAUCUGUUAAGCAUCAGUUAAAUUUAUGUUAAAUUAACUACAACUUACAUUAGGUUCAUUUUCGAUCCAAUUCAAUACCUGUUAAAUCAUUGGGUUCCAUAUGUUUGAAAUUUAGAUUUUGAAGUAAAUAGUAUUAGUGUUGAUCAUGAUAUGCUCUGUUGGUGGGUUUGAAUAUAAACGCAGGAAUGGAGUUUCAAUGGUUGUAGGUUGAGCUUGAAGGUGAUAUUUGGGAAUUUUCGAUUACGUGAAUAAAGGUAAUACGCCUUCUAAAAACAAAGAAAACAACAAGCUAAAUAAUUUACAGUAACGAUGUGAUUCUCGGUUAUUGAAACUGUAAAACAACCGAUGUCGGUAUUUGCUGAUAUCAUUGCUACCAUUCUACGUCACCAGAGAACUUUCAUUGUCAAAACACAGCUGGUAUGGCUUCAUAAUUGAAUUCCCAUAAAAUGCCAAACUUUAUAUGGUCAACAACACUGCCGUGAUGGACGGGCCUAAAGGCUGCAAGUUAUCGUGCAUGAGGGGGUUAGGCUAAGGAAUUAUGAUUUGAAGACUCACACAGCAGUGGAAUAUUCCACAAUAUUAUUACUUAUUAUUCUUCAUUUCUGGAUUACAAAUUUCACAGCUACUCAAUGGCGAAGCCAGGAAUUCUCGGAGGAAGGGGCGAACUUAAAAGAGUGCAAGAUUAAAGAAAAAUGACAAUAAACAAAUCUUUUUAUAUAGUAAUGUCUUCUAUAAUUAAUCAAUACAAAGGAAGAGGACUACCCAAAAUACCCAAAGGAUGACUACUCGGAGGAGGACUGCUCGAAAUAUUUGAAGGUGGAGGAGGACUACCCGGAAUAUUUGAAGGAAGAGGAGGACUAUCCAGAAUAUUUGGAGAAGGAUUUAAACACUGUUUUUUAUAGCAUCGUUCCAUUACGUAAUUGUAUAAUGAAAGAAAAAAAAUAUAUCUUAGACUCUUAAUCCUAGAGUAGACUAUAAAGUAAUAUAUAAUCAAACCAAGAAUUUAAUUAAUCAAUUCCAACAAUCAUAUGAAUAAUCAAGAAUUCAAUUUUUAUUCUAAACAACAACUGGUCAUUAGGGUCUUUUAAGUAAUUGAGUAAGUUGAUUAGGGUUUAUAGUGGUUACGGUAAUCAAUUUUUUGUCAUUUGCAAAGCUGCAUUUUAUUUAGGGUUUUAGUUGGUUGAGUUGGGGUUUAUUAUGUUAAUAUAAAUAUGAUGUAAAUGUCUUCACCAUGUUCAGCUGUUUUUUUUCUUGCUAGACCAUGUGUGUAUUCAAGUUCCUAUAUAUAUAUAUAUAUAUAUAUAUAUAUAUAUAUCCUCUUUUAUGUACUUCAAAAAAAAAAAAUCAAUAAUCAUCAUAGUAUUCAUAUAAAUAAUUUAUAAUCAAUAACCAUAUAAUGUAUUACCCUAUAAUCUUAUAUCAAUUAAACAAAAAUUCAGAUUCACUAAUCUAUUAGGGUUUGAAAUAAAUAUAAAUUUAAACAGUAAUAUAAGUAAAAUCAAGUGUUCAAUAACCUAUGCUACCACACUAGUCAAAGUCGCCUAAUGGGACUUGUACGAUUGAACCUAUUGCUCAUCAAUCUAUGCUAGCACAUGAGUCGAAGUCGCCUAAUGCAACAUGUACGACAGAGUUUGGUGUAAUCAUAAUAUACGCUCUAGUGCUACGAUCACGUGAAGACUGGCGCUAUGCGCGGUCACCUACGAGUCGGAGUCGCCUAAUGCGACCUGUAAGACAUGACUGACACCUACUUGGAUCCAAGGUGAGUGUGCAAUGCGGGAGGUGAACAUACAUGUGAAGCACUUGCUCUGGCCCGAGGCGAGCACUAACACCGAGGGGCAGCAAUGAUGAGCAGACUACAUGAAUAUAAGCAUGCCAUAAUGAUGCAAUAAUUCUAAUCAACAUAAUAACAUUCAUAGCCGUAGAUAUAAUUAUGGCAUCAAAGAUUAUAAGCAUACCUAUGCAUCUCGUAGGAUGUAACACGUUUCAUAAAUUCCGUCAUUUCGCUAAUUUUUAUAAACUUUAGUCUAAUCCAGGCAUAGGUAAGAAAUUCUUUUUCAAAUGCAUAAUUGGAAACUAUCAAUCAUAUAUAUACUAUAAAAAGGAAAAGACCCACUCACCUGAAGUCUGCGUUACAACUCCCUAGCACGAAUAUCGAGAUGUCUCGAACAAUCGGCGCCUAGAACAAUGAUCAAAUCAUGUCUCAGAAUUAUUAUCUAUAGAACACGUAACUUACAUAAAAUGCAUCCAAACAGAAUUCUAGAAUGAUUGCUAACCCAUUGACCAAAAGUGAACCAUCGGUCAAAGGUAGAAGGUAGGGUCCACAACCCUAGGUAACUCGAUCAGGAAGAUCCGCACCCUGAAUUUCCAAUCCGUAACUUCCCAAGAGUUUCAAUAAGCUUCCAAAACAACAUCCUAAAGUUUCGGAACGAUCUAAUGGUUGGAUCUUCGCCAAUCGCUAAAAUAAAGUGGCAGUUGACGUUUUAUUUUACGAACUUACAAAUCCAAUUCGGGAAGAUCCAUACGUAGGAUUCCCGAUCCGUAAGUUUCUAAUAUCUUCAAAUAUUAUGUACUAUAACGUAUUAAAGUUUGGUGAUGAUCCAACGGUCAAAUCGUCGAAUCAUAAAUGGUCAAGUGACGUAGUAUUCCAUACUAGGUUCAAACUAUCAAACUAUAACAAACGGUUAUCAAAUUGACAUAAAAUUUGACUCAAAAAGGCAGCGUCAGCCCACUAGCCAUGCUCUGCCGUACAUGGCGGUCGGCCACCCCGACUCGCCGGAAAAUUCAACUAAUUCUAAAAAUUCUAAAAUUUUACUAGAAUGAAAAUCUCAAUGAGUAGAUCAAGUUUUAUACCUGUGGCCAAGUCCAAUUUGGCCGGAAAAAGCUUCAAAUCUCCACGAACCCGCCGGAAACCCUAGAAAAUGGUGGUUGUCGAUUCGGCUUCUUCGGUGCUCCGCUGCUCCAACCAAGCCUUGAGACUGUUCCUAGGUUCAAGAGAAUUCAACCCAUGGUGGUGGUCGACGGAGUUUGUUUCAGAAAUGGUUGAUCGCUGCCGUGAGACCCUCGGCGCCACUCACUCGGUUCCUCAUGAAACUAGGGCUAUAAGCUGUCGAGUUUGGGUGGGAAUUGAAGAGGGAAGAUCGAUGAGUUAGGUGAUGGUGUUGGAUGGCUUCAACAUGCCGGAAAUCCGACAAAAAAAGCAACGGAAAAGUCAAUAGAAACUUGGUCAAAACCCGGGUCAGGUGAGGGUCCGAGUUGGGUGGUCUCAUCUCUUCUCUCCCUUCCAUCCUUUCCUUAUUUCUGAUUGGUCACUCAUUUUUCUUCCUUUUUCCCGAUUGGAAUAGUUUUCUCGCUAUAUGAGCGUGAAAGUUCAACGAUCAAAAGAUGCCUUCUCGAGCUAAAAGCUUGUCUAUUCUUUUCAUUUGUGCAUCUGGGCUUGUAGUUGCGUUGCAAGCGAUUCUCUCUGUCAGGCAUACCUGAUAGUGUCCCCCAUUUUGUUUCGCUUUUGAGCGAAGUCCUUAUUUCUUUUAUGCAAUUUUAUUUCUUCUAUAACAACAUGAUGUUUUCCCCCUUCUAUGGUUGCUCUCCCUCUCUCCCGCCAUUCUCUUCCAAUUGGGCAGCAGGCAUCUUUUUCCUCUCAUUCUCUUUCCGGUUGGCCAAUACUCCCACUCUUUUCUCUCAACUAAUAAUAAAAUAAUAAUAAUAUGAUAACAAAACAAUUUCAAAAUAAUAAUAUAAUAAUUAUGAGAAAUAUAUAAGAUAAUAAAUAGUAAUCUUUACAAGGGUACUUUUUCGAAUUUGUAGUUCUGUAAAAUUUUAACCGUAACUCUAUAUUCGCUUCCGCUUGCCUACGCGUCCGUAUCGUUGAGUACUUCAAGAAUAUGAUAAAUAAUAGCCCAUACGCUUCACGAAAUGAUGGUCAACUGGAGUCAACGAUCUCGCCUCUAAGGGCAUUUUCGUUAAUUCACUCAUUUAAAAUUUAUAAAAACAUAAAAUUAGGGAUGAGUUAUCACAAAAAAUACGUUUGCGCCUUGAAUUGGGUUGGAAAAAUUUCCAAAAUUUUGGGCGAAAAGAGUGACCCAAAACAAAGUCGUAAUUACCAUUACCAUACCAUGCCAACAUAACUAUUUGGCAUGCCAACAUAACUAUUUGGCAUGCCAAAAUUCGGUAUACCAAAAGUUUGGCACAGUAAAGGUAAUAGGUUUUGUCAUACCAAAAGUUUGGUAUGGUAAUUGGUACAUGGGUUUUGGUACAAUAAUCGUACCAAUACCACCCUUAGUGUUAGUUGAAGGUCGUAACAGUUGCAGUGGCAAAUUUUGUAAUUUUUAUUUUUUUUAAAUGCAUUUAAGUAUCAUAAUACAUGAUGAACUUUUUUUAAAUGUAUUUAAGUAUCGUACCAAUAACAUAAAUAUUGUUGAUAUAUUGUCAAUAUUGUAACUUUUUAUUGAUUUUAUACAAAAUCACCCUUUUAUUUAAGAGUAAAUUGUAGCAAUGGUCCAUGAACUUUAAUCAAAUGGGAGCAAUGGUCCCUCAACUAAAAAUCCAUUACUAUUGGUCUCUCAACUUAUCAAAAUGUGUAGCUAUAGUCUUUUUCAUCAAUUUCUUCAAAAUUUUGUCAAAAUAUGUAAUAACCAUUUAUAUAAUUAAGGUCCCUCAACUCAUCAAAGUGUGUAAUUAUGGUCCUUUUCGUCAACUACGUAAAUUUUUUUGUCAAAAUGAGUUAUGUUGGAAGGACCAUUGCUACAAUUAGGUUGAAGUUAAGAGACCAUUUCUCCAGUUGAAUUAAAGUUGAGAGACCAAAGGUAAUGAAUUUUUAGUUGAGGGACCAUAGCUGCACGUUUUGAUGAGUUGAAGGACCAAUGGUAAUGGAUUUGUAGUUGAAGGACCAUUGCUCCAAUUGAGUUAAAGUUAAGGGACCAUAGCUACAAUUUACUCUUUAUUUAAUUGAAACUAAUUUAUAUCCCACUUGAUGAACUUUUUAUGUUCUGAAAAACUUAAACCAUUCAAUUGAAUUAGAAUGCGUGAGAUAUAUGAAUGUUUAGAGGUUAAAACUCUUGAAAUCUUGAACUUUUUUAUUUGUGUUGAAUAGAUUUAGACCGACCAAACUAAACCGAGUCAAGCUAAUUAACUAUGGUUAGGUUUGGUGUAGUUUUAAUGACGGUAUUGGAGGUACAGAACCAAACUGAACCUUUGAGAACUAAUUGAAUCGGCUUUUUUUUUUCUUAUGUCAAACUGAAUCAUACCAAUCCGUACCACCCCUAAUUUAGGAUGUCAACGAACCAGGGUUAAUAAUUUGGAUCCGUGGAAAUGCCCUGAAUCCAAAUAUGGAUGUUGCUCGUAACUGGGCUUUUGCUAGUUCAAAGAAAUAAAUACAAAUAGAAUCGGAGAGGGUCAUUUUCCGGUUGACGAGAAUUUGUCACUUUACGCCGCCUAGCACCAGGCGCCAAUUGCUAUUUAGAUGAGUGUGGUAGUUGAGUAAUGCUAUACUUACCGCUAGUUGUACAAUUAUUUAUAUCAUUUUUUUAAUAGAGAUAGGAAUCCACCAACGUAUAUAUGUCUCAUCUCUCUAAUAGAGAUAAGGCCCGCCAACACAUGUAGGUCUCAUUUCUAUUAACAAAAUAGUAUAAAUGAUGAUAGAACUACGUGAUAAAAGUAGCAUUUUUGUAGUUAUUAUGAUUUCGUUUAAUUAGUUAGUCUGUUAGACAAAACAUUAACUUUUCUAUAUAACAAAGGGGAUAAAACUUGGGUACUGUCUUGUCAGUACCAGACUGACUUAUUAGAUGGCCCAAUAAUUGUCUAAGGGUGAGUUCGGUAUGGUUACCGUACCAAAAUUCUUGUACCAAUUACCGUACCAAACUUUCGGUUUGGUAAAAUCUAUUACCAUUAUCGUACCAAACUUUUGGUAUAAUGAAGUUCGGUAUUGCCAAAAGUUCGGUUGGCAUGGUAUGGCAAUGGUAAUUGCCUUUGCCAUUUUGUUUUAGGACAAAAUCUGUUUUUGUUUUUUUAACCCAAUUCAAGGGCAAAACUUUUUUUUUGUAUCUUUAUCUCAUACAUUAUAGAUUAAAUUCAUCUAUUAUUCAUCAUUCACAAUUCACAUACAUAAUAAUUCAAAUGAUGCAUCAAGAUUCAUCAUGAAAAUUAAGCUUACAAUCCAAAUAGAAGUUAACAAUCCAAAUAGAAAUUAAAGUUUCAAACCAAAUGAAAAUUGGAAGUAAACUUCAAAAAGGAGAAUUCAUUGAUCAUUUAUUCAAGUUUGGGAUGUCGAAGCUUUUGGAGAAGGCAUUGAACUUGUAGAAGAUUGAAUUUGUGUCAAGCCUACAUUACAAACUAAAAAAACAUAUUAAUUAGUAGCAAGAAGAAUUAAAGUUGAAGACCAUUUAAUAACAAAUUUACUAAAAAAAUUAAAGCAUAUCUUUCUUGUUUUCUCUUCUUCCAUUUCUUUGUAAAAUCGAAGCAUAUCAUCUGUUGGUUCCUUGUAGAAGUUUACUUCAUUUGCCCUUAAGCCAACCACUAGUACGCACUAGUGCCUCCAUUAUUUUAAGAGUCAAAGAUACCCUAAAAGGGUCCACAACCCUCCUCCCUAGGCUAAAUGCAUUUUCACCAGCAAUAGUAGAAGUGGGGGUUACAAAGAUAUUAUGGCUAUUUGUGAAAGAAUUAGGAACUCUUUUGUGUUUGAUUUCUUUCCACAAUUUCAAGAGAUCAAAGUCACACACAACAAUGCUAAUAUAAGUAGGGUUUUAUUUUCAAAUUAUUGGAAUAUUAUAAAUAUGUGUUAUAUAAUUAUCUAUUAUAUAAUUUAUAAAUUAUAAAUUGUAUUACAUUUUCGGUAUGGUACGGUAAUACCGUGGUAAUGGUAUCCAUUACCAAUACCGUACCAUGAAAUUUUGGUACGGUAUAAUACCGUACCAUUACCGAUUGGAACAAAAAUUUUGGCAUAAAAUCGGUAUUGUACCGGUUGGCAAUUCGGUUGGUACAGCAAUUUAGCAAAAAAAUCCACCCCUUGUCCACCACCUGUCUUUAAAACUCACAUCCAAAUUCUUGCUAUCCUGAUAACCAAACACCUAUCUUCUUCCUCCCUUCCCUGUGGCAGCCGCUCCGUCAAUCCCAACCUCUCUCCUCCGUCAUCGUUAUUCCUCUGCAAACCCAACCAAACUAUCGCCCUUUCUCUGCAAAUUCGACAAAACCAGUGCACCAACCAAAACCAAUUCUUACAGGUGCCAUGAAUUCGAUUACUCAACGAUUUCAUAAGAUACAAUUAAUCAUCGGUUCUAAAGCUGAUGAACGACGGUGGCUGUUGGUGGUGGGUGAGGACGGUUGUCGAAGGUGCAAAAGACAACAAAGAUGGCGACUCCCAUCUCCAUAUGGGUCUUAUUUUGUUCAUCUUGAAAAGAAAUCAUUUUUUAUUUAAAUUUGCAAUUAUGAUGAAUGGCAGCCAUGGUGGUGAUUGGAAUGGGCGAAGGAAGAUGAAGGAAAAAGAGUGAAAAAGUUGCAGGGAAGAAGAAACGAGGUGUUUGGUUGUGUGUUUCAAGGUGUAUGGUUGUGUGAAUUAUGGGAAAUCAAUUUCAGGUGACCGAAGCUAAGUAGUCUUAAAUUAGUCCAUAUUAUUUUCGUUAAUUGUUUUUAGCGGGUAUUCGCCUAGACCCCCCCCCCCGGCCCUUUCCCCGUGUUAGUUUUAUUUUUUUUUUUUCUUCAUAUUAUUAAUAAAAUCUUGUAGAGGGGGACGGGUGGGGGGUUUCUGGGUGCAACGGUCCUUUCUCUUUUGGAAGAGGAUUGGUGCCUCGUACGCAACUGUUGACGAAGAGCUAAUCUCACCUAAUCCGUCUCUACAAAAAAAUUUUUUUUUUUUAAAAAGUGUAUGGUUGUGUUUAAGAGAAUUCUUAGAACACAGGUGUCCUCAGUUUAGUGGGCCACAUAAGCAAGUCAGCAGUGGAAUUAUUUUGAUUACGUUAACGUCUCACUGACUUCGUAGUUUUCUCUGUAUCCAAACACUCUCAUCAGUUCGGUUUUUUCAUUCUUUUCAUGGUAUCAGGCACGAUUGUGCCCCGCAGUUGUUGAUUACAAUCUUCAUUGUCUCUAUUUCUCUUCAGGUUCUUCAUUUAUCCGUCUCUAAUUUUGAUUGAGACUGAAAAUUGCAGACAACUACCCCCGUGCCCAUCGGGUUCCCAAUAAAUGUCUCUGCAUGUUGAUUUUCCAAGGAGGAAAGAGGUAAUUGCAUAGCAAACAUAACAUUUUUUUCUUAUGUUUGAAGAAAAACUACAUGCAUGCGGUAAGUACAUAAUCUAAAUUGCAGAGCCGUCUCAAUGCAAACUUAAUCCUAAGACGAAAAUAAAAUGAGGUUUUUCUAAUUUAGUAUGUGGUUUUUUUAUAGGCUAGUUAAAUUAUAAAACUUUUCAAUUCAAUCCACCACCAUCUCCACACCAAAGUAAAUUUAACCAUUUAAGGCACAUUAAAUAAGAUUUAGGAAAAUAGUGGAAGACUUCAUAAUCAACAACAGUCGCAGAGCCACAAAGAUGCAAAAAUUUUGUUAAUUACCUAUUUGAAUCUUAUGCACAAUAAAUAGAACCUUAAGGUUAGUUUCCCAUUUGAUUUCGUUUCCUUGUUGACUCUUAAUCUCGAUAGAUUACAAUGUUGAAAGCAACUCCAUAGGAUAAAGAAGAGGGCACCAAAUUUCGCCUCUACAAUAAGAUCUCCUUAUCAUGAAACAAUUAGUAUAAUCUCACUCCAAAAAUGGAUGUUGAUUGUUGUACCAAAAGAAGGUUCAAUUUUGACAGUAAUAAAAGAACAUACACAGCUGAUGAAAACGAGAGACAGCUAACUAGCUCGUGCAUGAGAGCGUGCGAAGAGGCUAGCAAUACUGUGCUUGUAAAAAGAGAUGGAUAUCGCGGUCAUGCCAUACAUAUGAUGUCAUAAUUCACACACCGGAUGGUUUUAUUUUAUUUAUUUUAAAAGAUAAGUUCAUACUACAUUAUUUUCAGUACCACAACAACAACAACAACAACAAAGCCUUUUUCCCACUAAGUGGGGUCGGCUAUAUGAAUCCUAGAACGUCAUUGCGCUCGGUUUUGUGUCAUGUCCUCCGUUAGAUCCAAGUACUCUAAGUCUUUUCUUAGGGUCUUCCAAAGUUUUCCUAGGUCUUCCUCUACCCCUUCGGCCUUGAACCUCUAUCCCAUAGUCACAUCUUCGAACCGGCGCGUCAGUAGGCCUUCUUUACGCAUGUCCAAACCACCGUAACCGAUUUUCUCUCAUCUUUCUUUCAAUUUCGGCUACUCUUACUUUACCUCGGAUAUCCAUAUUCCUAAUCUUAUCUUUUCUCGUGUGCCCACACAUCCAAUGAAGCAUCCUCAUCUCCGCUACACCCAUUUUGUGUACGUGUUGAUGUUUCACCGCCUUCAGUGGCCUAUGAUGGUCACACAACACGUCGGAUGCACUCUCCCACUUCAUCCAUCCAGCUUGUAUUCUAUGGUUGAGAUCUCUAUCGAAUUCUCCGUUCUUUUGCAAGAUUUGCUAAUCCCCCGUUGUUUCUUUUUCAUGUUUUUUUUUUUUUUUAGUUACUGACUUUGUUUCUAUUUGUGUCUUUUAUUUUUACUUAUGAUAUUUGAUUUAGUUUUGUUUCCUUGAUUUCAAGUACUAGAGAAGUAAGACAUGGAUUUUGCUACCAUUCAAGCUCAAUUGGCGAAACUUACUUCUCAAUUGUCACAAUAUGCCGAAGGGACCACAAUGCAAAGUGUCCCUACAGAUGGUGUGUCCUAUGGGCAAGGAUAUCCAACUCAUCAAUGUUCUCAAUUCGCUACGAAUGAAGAUGCUUGGGGUUAUCAAGGCCAUAGCCAAUCAAGGGACAACAUGUUUUCCAACGCUUACAAUUCGGAUUGGAGAGAUUAUUUAGAUUACAUGUGUGGAGAACCGCAACAAUUCCAACAAGAUGGAUAUUGGCAGCAAGAAGAGGAGUUCUAUCACUGGUCAUAUGAACAAUCUGCCCAAUUCCAUUCGGGUACAUCUUUGGAUAAUGAUAUGUUUAAUAAGUUACUCACCUCUUUGAACCAGGAUGUAGAAAUC
RNAcentral lists this long non-coding RNA (15190 nucleotides) under Malus domestica (apple). RNAcentral's name for it is "long non-coding RNA (MDOM_LNC003514)". Lineage: Eukaryota; Viridiplantae; Streptophyta; Magnoliopsida; Rosales; Rosaceae. The record is from RNAcentral.